RNAcentral lists this ribosomal RNA (253 nucleotides) under uncultured bacterium. RNAcentral describes it as "partial 16S ribosomal RNA". It matches the Rfam family "Bacterial small subunit ribosomal RNA", at positions 524 to 776 of the family's 1533-position model. The record is from RNAcentral.
UACGGAGGAUCCAAGCGUUAUCCGGAUUUAUUGGGUUUAAAGGGUGCGUAGGCGGCCUGUUAAGUCAGGGGUGAAAGACGGCAGCUUAACUGUCGCAGUGCCUUUGAUACUGAAGAACUUGAAUACACUAGAGGUAGGCGGAAUGUGACAAGUAGCGGUGAAAUGCAUAGAUAUGUCACAGAACACCAAUUGCGAAGGCAGCUUACUAUGGUGUCAUUGACACUGAGGCACGAAAGCGUGGGGAUCAAACAGG